Lycium barbarum (goji berry) is the source of this 11094-nucleotide RNA transcript. It is a transcript of the gene named WPP domain-associated protein-like, with no coding region annotated. The transcript is spliced from 7 exons. The record is from RefSeq and is a predicted model, not a curated record. NCBI's taxonomy places the organism in Eukaryota, Viridiplantae, Streptophyta, Magnoliopsida, Solanales, Solanaceae.
CCUUUUCUCGCUAAUCUUCCUCCAAACCCUAAAAUAAAGGCUGACACUCCAAUGAGUGCUACUUAAAAGCUAAACACAGUUGGCAUAAUUUAGCAUUUAACGGUCAAAUUUGGAAAUUCUAGUGCUUCAACGACAAUACAAAAAUAGGGUUCAAUUUCUUUCCUUUAUAUGUUUACAUUAUGGGUACCGUAGAGGUGUUAGGGAAUGAAGGAGUUGGUGAUGGGUGUGGCAUAAGUUCAUGUCGUGAUAAUGCUUAUGUGGGAAUAAUGAAUGGUGGCAAAGGAAGUGAGAUGUUGGGUGAUGAGAUUUUGGAGGACUUUGAUUUGUAUUGGGAAGAUAUAAAUGAGCGUUUAACGGUUUCGAGGAUGGUGAGUGACUCACUUAUUAAGGGAAUGGUAAGUGCUGUGGAGCAGGAGGCGGCUGAGAGAAUAAUGGCUAAGGAAAUAGAAUUGGCCAAAGUAAAGGAUUGUUUGCAAUUUCAUGAUGUGGGUCUGAGUAAAACUGAAUCUUUGGGGUCACCCGUCUUGCAGGAUGAGCUAGAAAGUUUGAAUUUUCAGAAGCAUUUCAGUUUAUCAGAUGUUUUCUGGGAACAUGAGAAGAUGAGAGAGAUUUCAGGUGGACUAAGAAAUUCAGCAAUGGAUCAACUCAAGAAGCUGAAGAAGGGCAUUGAUAGGGUUAGAGGCUCCAAUUCUAUCAGGAGGAUCGGUUCUGGUUCAGAGUUGGUGGGUCUGGGUGGCAUUUUGCGAGAGCAAGAAUCUGAAAGUUGGGUUCAUGUGGACAAAACAGUGAAGCAUCUGAAAAUGACCAUGGAUACAAUUUUUACACGUAUGGAUGAAGUGGUACAGUUAUCCAAGGCAUCAGUUGAGCGGUGGCAGGAGGAGCAUCUGAUUGAGGUGGAGGUUGAGGCCAUGGUGAUGCAGAAUCUGAUCCAGAGUAUGCAGGAAGGUUUUGAGGACAAAUUGUGGGAUCAGUAUAGUCAAUCUUGUGAUGCUCAAAUUGAGAAAUUUAAUGAGAUCUCUAGUCUACGAAAUGACUUAGAGGUUAUUUUGAAGUCAAUGUCUAGUAUAGAAACAGGGCGUCUGACUUCACAUGGUUCACAGGAUGUUGACUACUUUCACCGUAAGAUGUCAAGUGAGCAUUUGACUUCUUCAAAAUCUAUUUCGGAGGGAAACGGGAAGGUGGAGGACUCAAAGAGCGAUAUACCUGAGAAGUUUGAAGCUGCCACAUUGAAACACAUGUCGCAGGAGGAAAUGGUGGACUAUUUUAAUGAUAUGAUGACAAAGAUGAAGAGAGAACAUGAAUGCAUUCUGGAAAGGAAAACUGAUGACUACUUUGCUCUAAGAGCUGUAUAUCUAACUCUGAUAGGAAGCGGGUCUGUUGUGCCGCAAAAGAAAGAUCAGGGGGAAUUUGAUUUUCUUAGAAAGAAGAUCCCAGAAGUUAUAAUGAAAUUAGAAGAUAUAUUUGUAGAGACUGAAAAGUGUCCUGAAUUUGCUCAAAGAGCUGCAAAUUUGAAUAACUUGAAGGAAAGAAUUGACACCCUUGUUUCUGAAAAUCGUCAGCUAAGAGACUUGCUUAGAGAUAAGAAAAAUGAAGUGAGGUUCCUAUUGUCCGAAGCCUCUGCUGCUGCUGAGAAGAGUCUGCAACACUCUUUGGCUGAAGAAAACAUGCAGAAGCAGAUAGGAGAUCUCAAUUUAGUGGUGGAAGAUUCACAGAUUUCAGCUUCAGUCAGGGAAGAAGUGUAUAAAUGUUUCCUAAGGGAUCUCAUUAGAAAGAAAGGCAGCGAAGCUGAUGAAUCAAACAUGGAGUUCCAUAUUAUGAAUGACAUUUAUGAUAUUAUUUUGGCAAAAGCUUACAUUAAUGCCGAAAGUACUUGCAAUUCUAAACUUGAAGAUUCAGAGUUGGAGUGUCUGAUAAUGCAAGAUCUUAAUGGAGUGAUUUUCAGUGAAGGAAUCAAGGAUUCUCAGGACAAGCUCAAGGAAUUGUACCAGGAUUAUUUGAUUUUGGCAAAAGCUUACAUUAAUGCCGAAAGUACUUGCAAUUCUAAACUUGAAGAUUCAGAGUUGGAGUGUCUGAUAAUGCAAGAUCUUAAUGGAGUGAUUUUCAGUGAAGGAAUCAAGGAUUCUCAGGACAAGCUCAAGGAAUUGUACCAGGAUUAUUUGAAUGAAAAUGAAAGUCGGAUAUUUCUUGAGAUGAAAGCUAUUCAGAAGGAUUAUGAAUUAAAAUUGGAGGUUGAGGAGAAGGAAAAACUAAAGCAAAUGAUUUAUCUGCUGGAAAGGUCAGUGGAUGAAAAGGAAACAUUAGCAAGUGAUGCAUCAACUGCUCUAGCAAAGGAGAAGGAACAAUUCGAGUUGGUAACUGAAGUUGCUAUUCAGAAGGAAUAUGAAUUAAAAUUGGAGGUUGAAGAGAAGGAAAAAUUAAAGCAAAUGAUUUAUCUGCUGGAAAGGUCAGUGGAUGAAAAGGAAAAAUUAGCAAGUGAUGCAUCAACUGCUCUAGCAAAGGAGAAGGAACAAUGUGAGUUGGUAACUGAAGUUGCUAUUCAGAAGGAAUAUGAAUUAAUAUUGGAGGUUGAAGAGAAGGAAAAACUAAAGCGAAUGAUUUAUUGGCUGGAAAGUUCAGCGGAUGAAAAGGAAAAAUUAGCAAGUGACGCAUCAACUGCUCUAGCAAAGGAGAAGGAACAGUUUGAGUUGGUAACUGAAGAGCUUAAUGCUGUGAGAGAACAUGCAAGUAGGCAACAAAGAUUAGUUUCUGAGAGCAAUAUGGAAUUAGAGGCGGUAAAGGUUCAAUUAGCAGAAGCAUUGGAGCAGAUUGAAGCAAUGAAGGAGGAGAUCCACAGGUUAAAUCAAAAGCUUGUAGACAAGGUGGAGGAGUUAAAAGAAGCCGAUGACAAAGCAAAGAUGGACCUUGUUGUUUCUGAAGAGAGGCAGUACUUUUUGGCCUUAAAUGAAACCAAAGAAAUUGAGCUAAGAAAGCAUAUGGAAGCAGUAAUUUGUAGGGUACAUGAGUUGUCAAAAAUGCUUGAAGAUUUUGAAUGCAGGGUGAGUGGCAGUCUGGAGACAAAUCAGGCUAGGUUGGAUCAUUCAUCGUGUCAGUUGAAUUCUCUUGUUAAGAAGACCAAUUCACUUAGAAGAACAGUGCUAUUGUACCGGCAGAGGCUUGAAAAAAGAUGUUCAGACCUUCAAAUGGCUGAGGCUGAGGUUGAUCUUUUGGGAGAUGAGGUUGAUACACUUUUGCGCUUACUUGAAAAGAUAUACAUCGCACUUGAUCACUACUCACCAGUUUUGCAGCAUUAUCCUGGAAUUGUUGAAAUUCUUAAGCUGAUCAGAAAGGAAUUAUGGGGAGAUUCUGCUAAAUCAGUGAAGUGAUCUCCUACAUAAGAAGGUGCUGGUGAGUUCUAUGCUAUGUUUGGUGAAAGAGGAGGAUAUGAGGAGGGGAAGUAAAAGGAAGUAAAACAGGGAAGAUAAAAGCUCAACUGCUCAAGGUGCACAGGGAGACAGACUUGAUCCAUAGCUGCUUAUUCAGAGAUUGCAUAGCAGAGCUCCAUUUAUUUCGGAGCCGUAGCUUUUGGGUACUUAUUCUUUUGUGUAUAUAAUUAUGGGCAUAGCGGGGUCCUGUCCCGCUCAUACGAUAUGUCAUACUCUUAGAGGCUCGUAGUCAUGUGUAUGUGGGUAGAGAUGUUCGGCCAUGUCGGCCCAUGUUUUGUAUAUCUUUUGUUAGCCACGUUGGCCUUGUACUUAUGAUGUGGCACAGAUGCCUAUGAUAUGUUAAAUGAUGAUGUUCGUCUAAUGGGAUCAAUAUGAUUAACGAUAAGAAAAGCACGAAUUGACUUAUGGUUCACCUAGAUAUUAUGUUAUGUACGAUAAGGGGGUGCUCGGGUGGGGUAGCACCGGGUGCUUGUCGCGGCCCCCUAGCCGGGUCGUGACAAAAGUGGUAUCAAAGCAGUUCAGUCCUAGGAUGUGUCUACGAGCCGUGUCUAGUAGAGUCUUGGUUAUGGGUGUGUUGCGCGCCACACUUAUAAACGAGAAGCUGCGGACAUUUUAGGAAUAUAUGACCUUCUUUCUUUAUAAAAAUCGUGCGAUAGAGCUAUGAUGUAAGAAAUUCUUGUUCCUAAAUCGUGUGUUGUGUAUUUCAGAGAUGCCUAAAAAGAAAAAGGCUACAGCAGCCCAAAAGGGCAAGACGGUGGCAGAAAAGCGAGCUGAAAGAGCACCGCCACCGGUAGUAGAGGAAGAUGAGUCCCAGAGUGAGGCUUAAUCUCAGUCCUCCCAGACAGUGCCUAUUACCGAGGAGCACGUGGGAGCCUCAGCCCCAGCUCCAGCUCCUCCACCGAACGCUUCGGGCCAAGACGUGAGAGAGGCCAUUAAUUUGUUGACUCAGUUGGUUGCGGCCCAGACUCAGAGGCCAAGCGCAGGGCAAGGUGACAGGGCUGUUAGUGCAAGGGCCCGUGACUUCAUUGCUUUGAAACCCCCAGAAUUCUUUGGGUCGAAACCGGAGGAGGACCCCCAGGACUUUAUUGAUGGUAUGCUAAGGACGCUCCAGUUGAUACAUGCUUCUGACACUGAGUCGGUAGAGCUAGCGUCCUAUAGAUUGAGAGAUAUCUCGAUCCAGUGGUAUACAGUAUGGAUGGCUUCGCGGGGAGCCAAUGCACCUCCGCCGGUAUGGCAAGAGUUUGUCAAUGCUUUUCUCCGUCACUACAUGCCUCCAGAAGUUCGGCGAGCUAGGGCCGAUAAAUUCUUGAAUUUGAGGCAAGGUAGCAUGAGUGCUACCGAGUAUAGUCUCCGCUUCAAUUCCUUGGCUAGGUAUGCUUCGGCCAUGGUAGCGGAUAUGGGUGAUCGGGUGCACCGGUUUGUGAAAGGCCUAGGGCCACACUUGAUGGAUAAAUGCUUAACUGCGUCCCUUCAAGAUGGCAUGGAUAUUGCACGCAUUCAGGCACAUGCUCAGGAAUUAGAGGAACACCUACAGCAGGGAGAAAUGAACGUGAGCAAGAUAGGGGACAUAGCAAGAGAGCUAGACCUUCAGGUUCGAGGAGCGAGUCUAGGGGUGGACACAGACAGCAGCUUCCCAGCCAUUCAGGCUAUUCUAUGACCAGUCCACCUCCACGGUUUUCAGGCCAGGGCCUUGAUAGAUCUGCUCGUUCAGGGCCGAGUCCGAGUUAUAUAAGACCUCAGUUCAGAGGUGAUUUGGGCCAGUCAAGGCCACCCGUACCACCAUGUUCCCAGUGUGGGAAGAUGCAUUGGGGUCGAUGCCGAUUUGGUUCAGAUGAUUGCUAUUCAUGUGGUCGGCCAGACCAUAUUAUGCGUGAUUGCCCCUCAGUACAUGGUAGAGGUAGGACCCAGCCAUCAGGGUCCGUAGCCGGAUCUUCAGCAUCUGUAUGCCCUACGGGGCCAGGUUCACAUGCGCCAGCUGGCCAUGGUAGAGGCAGAGGGAGAGCUCCCAGUACUAGCAGUUCUCAGCACCGUAUUUAUGCUUUGGCUGGACGCCAAGAUCUUGAGUCGUCUCCUGACGUACUCACAGGUAUAUUAUCGGUAUUCUCUCAUGAUGUAUAUGCUUUGAUUGACCCGGGCUCCACAUUGUCUUAUAUUACUCCAUAUAUUGCGGGUCGGUUUAUAGUCGAGCCGGAGUCGAUCAAACCUUUUGAGGUGUCUACGCCCGUUGGCGACUUGGUGAUAGCUAGCCGAGUGUAUAGAGAUUGUGUAGUCGUGAUAUGUGACCACCGUACUAUAGCUGACUUGCAUGAACUAAAGAUGGUAGAUUUUGAUGUCAUUAUGGGCAUGACUUGGUUGGCUUCUUGCUACGCCAAUGUUGAUUGUAGAAUGAAAAUGGUUCGCUUCCAGUUUCCGGGAGAACCAGUCUUAGAAUGGAAAGGAAAUACAGCGUCACCAAAAGGUAGGUUUAUUUCCUAUCUAAAGGCAAGGAAGAUGAUCACGAAAGGGUGCAUUUAUCACCUAGUGCGAGUUCAAGAUGUAGAAGCUGAGUCGCCGACUCUUCAGUCAGUUCCGGUAGUGAACGAAUUUCCGGAUGUGUUCUCGGAAGAGCUUCCAGGCCUUCCUCCCGAGCGAGAGAUCGAUUUUGCGACUGAUGUGUUGCCAGACACUAAUCCCAUAUCUAUUCCUCCCUAUAGGAUGGCACCCGCAGAGUUGAAAGAGUUGAAGGAGCAAUUAAAAGACUUGCUUGAAAAAGGCUUCAUUAGGCCUAGUUCAUCCCCGUGGGGAGCACUCGUAUUGUUCGUCCGGAAGAAGGAUGGCUCCUUGAGAAUGUGCAUUGAUUAUCGGCAAUUGAAUAAAGUGACAAUUAAGAACAAGUAUCCCCUCCCGAGGAUUGAUGAUUUAUUUGAUCAAUUGCAAGGUGCCAAAUGGUUUUCAAAAAUUGAUUUGAGGUCCGGGUAUCACCAAGUAAGAGUUAGGGAGAAAGAUAUCCCUAAGACAGCUUUCAGAACAAGAUAUGGCCAUUUUGAGUUCCGAGUAAUGUCGUUUGGGCUAACUAAUGCACCGGCAGUGUUUAUGGACUUAAUGAACAAUGUGUUUAGGCCUUUUCUGGAUCUAUUCGUGAUUGUAUUCAUCGAUGAUAUCCUAGUGUAUUCUAGAUCCGAGGCAGAACAUGCGGAUCACUUGCGUAUUGUCCUUGGAGUUCUUCGAACCUGAGAGUUAUUCGCGAAGUUUUCCAAAUGCGAGUUUUGGUUGAACUCAGUGGCAUUUCUGGGCCACAUUGUUGCAGCUGACGGUAUUCGAGUGGAUAGCCAAAAGAUUGAGGCAGUGAAGACUUGGCCAAGGCCCACGACCCCUAUGGAGGUUCGUAGCUUUUUGGGCUUAGCCGGUUAUGACAGAAGAUUUGUUGAGGGUUCUCUUCUAUUUCUGCACCGCUCACCAAGUUGACUCAGAAGUCAGCUAAUUUUCAAUAGACAGAUGCUUGCGAGCGUAGUUGCCAAGAGUUGAAAGACCGACUGACUUCAGCCCCAGUCUUGAUACUUCCAGAGGGAUUGGAAGGAUAUGUUAUUUAUUGUGAUGCUUCAUGCGUCGGGCUAGGCUGUGUAUUGAUGCAAAAUGGUAAGGUGAUUGCGUAUGCUUCUAGACAAUUACAGAAACAUGAGCAGAAUUAUCCUACCCAUGACUUAGAAUUGGCCGCGGUAGUCCAUGCUUUAAAGAUAUGGAGACAUUACUUAUAUGGUGUCCACGUGGAUAUUUAUACAGAUCAUAAGAGUCUCCAGUACAUCUUCAAGCAGAAAGAGUUGAAGUUACGGCAACGACGAUGGCUAGAGUUGCUAAAAGACUAUGAUGUUGAAAUCCUGUACCACCCCGGAAAGGCAAAUGUUGUGGCUGAUGCUCUUAGCCGUAGGUCGAUGGGAAGUCUAAGUGAUGGACGACCAGAAAAGAAAGAGAUGGCCCGUGAUCUUCAGCAGUUAGCUAGCCUAGGAGUCCGAGUGGUGGACUCUGGUAGCAGCGGAGCUAUUAUUCAGAAUUCAGCAGUUUCAUCGUUAGUAGCGGAAGUAAAAGAGCGACAAUAUGAGGAUCCAAUGCUAAUGCAGUACAGAGAUACACUCCCUCAGAAGGAGGAGUCAUCAUUUGACAUUUCGGAAGACGGAGUUCUCCGAUGUCGAGGCAGGUUAUGUGUUCCCGAUGUGGCAGGUCUACGCCAUCAGAUUUUGAGAGAAGCUCAUUGUUCCCGUUACUCCAUUCACCCCGGAGCGACGAAAAUGUAUCAUGAUCUUAAGACUAUAUAUUGGUGGAAUGGGAUGAAGAAAGACGUAGCGGAAUUCGUAGCUCAUUGUCCUAAUUGCCAACAAGUGAAGAUAGAACACCAAAAGCCGGGUGGCUUAUUGCAAGCUAUAGAAAUCCCAACUUGGAAGUGGGAAGUGAUUAAUAUGGAUUUCAUUACAGGGUUACCCCGUUCUCGACGUAAAUAUGAUUCUAUAUAGGUGAUCGUGGAUAGGCUCACAAAGUCAGCGCAUUUCUUACCGGUCAGAACGACCUAUAUGGCAGAAGAUUAUGCCAAGCUUUAUCUUAAAGAGAUAGUGAAACUCCAUGGCGUCCCGGUAUCUAUUAUCUCCGAUAGUGGAACUCAGUUUACAGCCAAGUUUUGGGGGUCUUUCCAAGAAGGUUUAGGGACCCAAGUGCGCCUAAGCUCGGUAUUUCACCCACAGACCGAUGGGCAAGCUGAACGUACUAUUCAGACUCUUGAAGAUAUGUUACGGGCAUGUAUGAUAGAUUUUGGAGGAAAUUGGGAUGACCAUUUGCCACUCAUUGAGUUUGCUUACAAUAACAUUUAUCAUUCUAGCAUUCAAAUGGCACUGUAUGAAGCUCUAUAUGGGCGAAAGUGUAGAUCCCCAAUUGGGUGGUUUGAAACCGGAGAAGCUAAGUUGAUAGGGCCAGACUUGGUCCAGCAAGCAAUAGAGAAAGUUAAGCUCAUACAAGAUCGGUUGCUAGCGGCUCAAAGUCGUCAGAAGUCCUAUGCGAAUAAUAGUCGAAGAGACUUAGAGUUCGAAGUGAAAGAUUGGGUAUUCUUGAAAGUGUCGCCGAUGAAGGGCGUGAUGAGAUUUGGCAAAAAGGGGAAGCUCAGUCCCCGGUAUAUUGGGCCAUACGAAAUUGUGCGCAAAAUAGGCAAAGUGGCUUAUGAGCUAGAUCUACCUCCAGAUUUGGGGUCAGUCAAUCCAGUAUUUCAUGUCUCGAUGCUUCGGAAGUGUGUUGGAGAUCCUACGAGGAUCGUCCCAGUGAAUGAUAUUCAAGUGACAGAAAAGUUAACUUAUGAUGAAAUACCCAUUGCCAUAUUAGAUAGGCAAGUAUGGAGGCUUAGAAACAAAGAAGUGGCCUCAAUUAAAGUUUUGUGGAGAAAUAACUAUUGAGAGGAAAUGACAUGGGAAGCGGAAGAGAAUAUGCGAUCCAAAUACCCACAUUUAUUUCAGCCCUUGGAAGAAGUCCAAGAUGAGACGUCAAAAUCAUAAGGUAUGCAUGUUUUCCCUUUUAUACAUUCAGGUCGUGUGUGGCCAAAUUUCUAGUGCUGUUGUAUUAUUGCCCUGUGAGGCAUUGUAAUUGUGGGUUGUUGUGACAGGGUGGUAGUGCCACAUUACAGAGGAAACUCUGGCAAAAUUUUUAUAGAAUUCCCCAAGCCUUUAACAUUCGAGGACGAAUGUUCCUAAGGGGGGGUAGAAUGUUACACCUCGGAAAUUUUUUCCGUUGGUAUGCAAGAGAACGAACUAGUGAUGAAUAUGAGUGCAUGAUGUCCAUGAGCAAGAAACGACGUUGAUAACCUUAGGCGAUAUUUCGAAGGUAUCCGAUGUGAGACGAAGAAGUUGGCUAAGUUAAGAUGAGAUACAAGGUGAGCAAUGCAUGUGCAUGGACGGGGGUGAUUGAAAUGAGAAGUCUAAGAAAUGUGGGAAGUUGCAGAAUUGCAACUGCCCAGUGGUCAUAUAUUGCAAAAUACGGACCGUAAAGUGCAAUACGGUCCGUAAACUGGCGGUCGUAAACUGCCAUGCCAAGCUUCGACUUUCUGCCAGCUGAGGAAAUGGUUAAAUACGACCUGGUGGACGGACCGUAAAGUGAUUUACGGCCCGUAAACCAUGGUCGUAAACCACCAUGAAGGCAGCCCAGCUUCUGGUUCUGGAAAUGGCUAAAUACGCCCAUGGAGGACGAGCCGUAUAGUGGAAUACGGUCCGUAAACCUCCAUGGACGACCACUGUUCACCCAGCACAGAUUUUUCCAAUUCAUUAAAUAUGAGGAUCAAGACUUAUUUUAUUUCAUUACAACAUUACACCACUUCUAUCUAAAACUUCUCUCUACAUUUAUUAUAUGAGUUUUCAAAGAUUAUAAGCCAUCAAUAACAUUAAGACAAGUGAAUCAAGGAUAAGGGAAUCAUCAAGGAUUAUCCAAGUCAAAAAAUCCAAAUGGAGAAAAACUAGGAAUUUGCUCAAAGAGGAGUAUUAUCAACCAAAGCUUGUUCCUACAACUUCUAAGGUAAGAUUCAUGAUUUUUACAAGAUGUUUAAGGUAUUGGAGAAUUAAAAUACAUGGAUUGUAGAAAAUGUGGUCAACUAGGUCAUGAAUGAUGAAUAGUGACAUUGUGAGAAAUAGUUUGAAUUGAGUUAUGGAUGUUGUUGUGUUGUGAUAUGAAUGUGUUAUAAAUGGUAUUAAGAUCAUGAACUAAACACUUUAGACGAAUGGACGAAGAUGGGUGUUAUGACCAUGAAUGUGGGUGAAUUAGAGGCAAAUUGAGGAAUCUAGAUAAUGUGGAUAAUGUGAAUGACUAAUGGCCAUUGUUAUGAUAUUAAUGAAGGUAUAAACGCUAGCAUUGGAAGGGAACGUGCAAGUGUAGAAUAGUUCGACGGAAAGGUAUGUAAGGCUAACCCUUAUUUCAUAAGGCAUGGUUCUUGGCCAAAUUCCUAAUUCCUCUAUAUGAGUAUGUUGUCUUCACAUGGUUGACAUUCCGAGCUCAUAAGCUCACGACCCUUGAUAUGUACUAUGAUUAUACUAUGUUCCUCGUAUGACGAGUAAGUCUAUAAUGUAGAUGUAACGAUAAUGAUGAGGAUAGUAAUGAUGAUGAGAGUAAAAUUAGAUUAGAGAUGCUUACGAGUUAUGAUAUAUGUAUAUGUAUGCCUAUGAAGGGCUAUGAUAAGACCCCGAGCUUAUGAUGCCGGGUAAGACUAUAUGUAUAUGGCUAUGUAUAAAGUAUGUAUACGAUUACGAAACGCGCGCACACCUCUGCAGAUGGUACAGAUAACCCUGACGCCUUGGUAGGGCCAGGUAUGUAUGACCUUGAGCCUUGGUUGGCCAAGCAUGUAUAAGACACCGAUCCUAUGAGGUCGGGUAUGCUAUGUAAAUGCUAUGUAUAUGAAAUGACUAUGUAUAUGAUAUGAAUAUGAAUGUGAUAAGACUAUGUAUAAGAAUACGAAUAAGGACAUGUAUACGAAUAUGAGCACAAGUAUGGUACGAGUAUUAUUAUGGGAUACGAACGACGAUGUAUGCAAGUAAGCGACAUGAUGAUGAUGAUAUUACUGUCUCCCCUCCUAUGCUAUUUUCAUAUGAUAUCUAUUAUGCUUCUAUAUUGAUGUUGAUCAUGCUUUACAUACUCAGUACAUUCUUCGUACUGACGUCCUUUUGUUUGUGGACGCUGC